UCGAGAAUCUUGGGCAAUGCGCGAAAGCGUGACCCAGCAAUGCCGCGUGCAUGAUGAAGGCCUUCGGGUUGUAAAAUGCUGUCACUCGGGACGAAAAAAAUGACGGUACCGGGGGAGGAAGACACGGCUAACUACGUGCCAGCAGCCGCGGUAAUACGUAGGUGGCGAGCGUUGUUCGGAAUUAUUGGGCGUAAAGUGUCUGUAGGAGGUUUCUUAAGUUCGAGGUGAAAGCCCGGAGCUCAACGUCGGAGCUGCCUUGGGGACUGGGAGACUAGAGUGCUGUAGAGGUAAGCGGAAUACCAGGUGUAGCGGUGGAAUGCGUAGAUAUUGGGUAGAACACCAAGAGCGAAGGCAGCUUGCUGGACAGAAACUGACUCUGAGGGGCGAAAGCGUGGGGAGCAAACA
This 405-nucleotide ribosomal RNA is filed under the name uncultured bacterium. RNAcentral's name for it is "bacterial SSU rRNA". It matches the Rfam family "Bacterial small subunit ribosomal RNA", at positions 355 to 774 of the family's 1533-position model. The record is from RNAcentral.